CGGCGAGUGAAGCGGCAAAAGCUCAAAUUUGAAAUCCGGCGUCUCUCGGCGCCCGAGUUGUAAUUUGAAGGCAGUUUUCUGGUGCUGGCGCCCCUGUCUAUGUUCCUUGGAACAGGACGUCGCAGAGGGUGAGAAUCCCGUCUGGCGGGGGUGUGUGGCCUUUGUAGAUUUCUGGCGACGAGUCGAGUUGUUUGGGAAUGCAGCUCUAAGUGGGUGGUAAAUUCCAUCUAAAGCUAAAUACUGGCGAGAGACCGAUAGCGAACAAGUACAGUGAUGGAAAGAUGAAAAGAACUUUGAAAAGAGAGUGAAAAAGUACGUGAAAUUGUUGAAAGGGAAGGGUGUUGGAUCAGACUUGGUGCUUUGCGAAUAUCUUCCCCUCGUGGGUUGUGCACUCGCACUGCGCUGGGCCAGCAUCGGUUUGGACGGCAAGACAAUGGCGUGGGGAACGUGGCACUCUUUUGUGUGUGUUAUACCCUGGCUGAUGUUGCCUGUGCGGACCGAGGACUGCGGCGUUUGUGCCUAGGAUGCUGGCGUAAUGAUUCAACACCGC
Molecule: ribosomal RNA, 550 nt
Filed under: Petasospora xylebori
Lineage: Eukaryota; Fungi; Ascomycota; Saccharomycetes; Phaffomycetales; Wickerhamomycetaceae
Description: eukaryotic LSU rRNA
Rfam family: Eukaryotic large subunit ribosomal RNA
Source: RNAcentral